This is a small nucleolar RNA of Heterocephalus glaber (naked mole-rat), 101 nucleotides long. The record is from Ensembl. Lineage: Eukaryota; Metazoa; Chordata; Mammalia; Rodentia; Bathyergidae.
AUUCUUCCAUUCAUGAAUGGGAUGAUUGGGUUUUAUGCCAUGUGCCUGCAAUGUGUCUCCUUCAAAUCUUGUUAUGCCAUUGGCAUAUUCCUUGUCUGACA